GGGGGUGACUGGUUUCGACUUUGUUCGUAGCGACAGGGGAAGCGAGCCGAGGAAGCCGACAUUGUCUCGUUAAUCAGUGGUCGGAAACCAAUAAGCGCCAACUACAAGCGCUCUGAUCUCGCUCUCGCUGUCUAAGCGAGUUUGAGAUCUGUCGGUCCGGGAGUGCCUUCGGCCCGGUCACCGGCAUCAGCUAGAAGGCUGGCCAAUCCGGACCCGUUGCGGGGCCGGGGCGGCGAGAUUUAAAUGCAACUGGGCCCGCCACACCGACUCGCUCACGUGAUCGGAGGGGCCGAGUAGAGGCACAGUGAGCUGCGCUCGGAGAAGCCCUGACAAAGCGGCGAAGGACCCGGGUUCGAUUCCCGGCACCUCCA
Molecule: transfer-messenger RNA, 371 nt
Filed under: Virgisporangium aliadipatigenens
Lineage: Bacteria; Bacillati; Actinomycetota; Actinomycetes; Micromonosporales; Micromonosporaceae
Rfam family: transfer-messenger RNA
About the family: Bacterial tmRNA, also known as 10Sa RNA or SsrA, is named for its dual tRNA and mRNA-like properties.
Source: RNAcentral